AAGUCGUAACAAGGUUUCCGUAGGUGAACCUGCGGAAGGAUCAUUCAAGGAUUUCAUAUAAAAUAUGAAAAGGAUGUAAAGGGAAAGCAAAAAGGACCUUUUUGCUAACCUGAAACCCUUUUUAUACUUUUACACCUAACAAACACUUUUGUGUUGGCGUGCGCACAGGAUUAGUACAGGUGUUUUUACCACCUUUACAAUCCCACCACCCGCUACACAACAAUAACACUUGGCUGAUAAAACAGCAGUAUUGACUUGUCAGUACCGUUUGAUACUAAUACAAUACAACUUUCAACAAUGGAUCUCUUGGCUCUCA
RNAcentral lists this unclassified non-coding RNA (316 nucleotides) under fungal sp. RNAcentral's name for it is "partial internal transcribed spacer region". The stretch from base 1 to 46 matches the Rfam family "Eukaryotic small subunit ribosomal RNA", at positions 1786 to 1831 of the family's 1831-position model. Lineage: Eukaryota; Fungi. The record is from RNAcentral.